Non-coding RNA from Leptonychotes weddellii (Weddell seal), 256 nucleotides. NCBI's taxonomy places the organism in Eukaryota, Metazoa, Chordata, Mammalia, Carnivora, Phocidae. The record is from RefSeq and is a predicted model, not a curated record.
UAGGCACAACCAGUAAGAAACUCUCAAGUACAUCUUUGCAGCCAACACAUUCUUCUUUAAUGGCAACAGUUAAAGGUGAAGGAACCACAACCAGUGAUGUCACAAAGACCGAGUUCACCAUCACAAAUACAACAGUGACAAAGAUCCCACUUUCAAAUGCUUCUUCAACAUUACAAAGUUCCCAACAAAAAACUGAGAAUCAGAGCUCAAUCAAAACAACAGAAGCACCAGGUAAGUUAAUUUUCUUCUCUCUCAG